Molecule: ribosomal RNA, 253 nt
Filed under: uncultured bacterium
Lineage: Bacteria
Description: partial 16S ribosomal RNA
Rfam family: Bacterial small subunit ribosomal RNA
Source: RNAcentral
UACGUAGGGGGCUAGCGUUGUCCGGAAUCAUUGGGCGUAAAGCGCGCGUAGGCGGCCCGGUAAGUCAAAGGUGAAAUCCCUCGGCUCAACUGAGGAACUGCCUUUGAAACUGUCGGGCUUGAGGCCGGGAGGGGGUAGCGGAAUUCCCAGUGUAGCGGUGAAAUGCGUAGAUAUUGGGAGGAACACCGGUGGCGAAGGCGGCUACCUGGACCGGUUCUGACGCUGAUGCGCGAAAGCGUGGGUAGCAAACAGG